AGGGGACAUGGCCGAGGCCCGCGGUGUCCGCGUGUGGGAGCUGCAGGGCUGAGGAGAGGCCGCCCGCAACCCUCGGGAAUCGUGUGAG
Molecule: long non-coding RNA, 88 nt
Filed under: Pan troglodytes (chimpanzee)
Lineage: Eukaryota; Metazoa; Chordata; Mammalia; Primates; Hominidae
Description: lincRNA
Source: RNAcentral